This is a long non-coding RNA of Chionomys nivalis (European snow vole), 494 nucleotides long. RefSeq lists it as uncharacterized. NCBI's taxonomy places the organism in Eukaryota, Metazoa, Chordata, Mammalia, Rodentia, Cricetidae. The record is from RefSeq and is a predicted model, not a curated record. The transcript is spliced from 3 exons.
UAACCUUGACUGUCCGAUGGUGGUGAGCAGGGAGCAGGGUGGAGCAGGAAUUGUGUCGUUAAUGUUUGCAGGGUGAUCAGAGACUGUAAUGUCAGAUGACUCCAGAACAGGGACUAAAAGAAGGUGGACAAUGAGCCAAGCGAGAAGGGAUUUCCAGGGGAAAAUAUGAAUGUAGUCUUCACUACCACAAAUUAUGCAAUUAAUGUUUCCCAUAUUUGGGGAAAUCAUGGGAUCAGUACAGAGUGGAUGAACCUCAGCCUGUGAAAACCUCCUCCUUGAUCUUGGCAUCUUUCCUGCCAGUCUCGGCUGUCCUGGAACUCGCUCUACCAGACUGGCUUUGAACUCACAGAAAUCCACCCGUCUCUGCCUCCCCGAGUGCUGGGAUUAAUGGUGUGCACCACCACCGCCCAGCUGUGGCACGUCUUUUAUCUUUACAAAAUAGGAUCCUGCUAAAUGCCCUGCAAUAAUUGAUUCCUGAGCCACUAGGACCUGGU